Long non-coding RNA from Mauremys mutica (yellowpond turtle), 3844 nucleotides. RefSeq lists it as uncharacterized. The record is from RefSeq and is a predicted model, not a curated record. The transcript is spliced from 4 exons. NCBI's taxonomy places the organism in Eukaryota, Metazoa, Chordata, Testudines, Geoemydidae.
GGGGAAAGUCAAGACCUGAAGGUGUGGGCAAACAGGUAGCAUGUGGAAGUUUGUAGGAGGUGGAGAUUGUGGGGUACAAUUACAUUUGAAGAGGAGAAACUGGGACUACCUGAGAACUAUAAAGGAGUCACAUACACAAUGAUAAAUACUGUUUUUUGCCAUCCUGCUUUUUCUGUAAAAGUGUCCUACUUUUUUCCAUUUUGGACUGUGUACUGGAACGAGAGCUGGUGGCACCUCCCAGCUUGAAGCAGUAAUAACAAACACCAAAUACAUGGUUUCCAUCAUCAGCACCCCACUAUAAAAAUUGUUCCAGCACCCAUGAUUCUGGAAGAGGGAGGGUUUGGGAAAGGAUGACCUCAUACUUUCCACUUCCGCAUCAGCCCAUCUUAUCCCUCAGCAAAACAUCCCCUUCAUCUGAUCACCAUGUCCCAGUUCUUAACAUUGAAAAUAUGAUCCAUCUGGUGUCUGUCUUUAUGGGUUACAGACAAGGAUUGCAUUUUAAAAUAUUUUCAUGCUUGAUUUUUACAUUCAGCAUAUCAGGUCUAGUUUACUAUGCUAUUUCUCUAGGACUCUACUGAUCAACAGAAAAUGAGGGGCAUUACAAGAGACAAGUGAUUGAAGUCUGAACAUGUGAGAGAGAAUAAAGUCCUGGAUUGCCUCAUGGGAAGCAAAGGACAUAUGCUGAUGCUCUACAGAUACUGAAUUGCCGCAGAGAUGAAUUUUUCUUGGACAGCAUUCUGUUGAGUAGGUUCUGGAAUCAUAUAAAACAGCCACUUGCAAAAAAAAGUAAAAUGAUGGAGUCGACAGAGUCUGUCAAAGGGUAUGUCUUCACUACUGGCCCGAUCGGCGGGCAGCAAUCGAUCCAGCAGGGAUCGAUUUAACGUGUCUAGACUAGACCCAAUAAAUCACUUCCCGAGCGUUCUCCCGUCAACUAUUGUACUCCAGCUCAGCGAGAGGCGCAGGCAGAGUCGACGGGGGAGUGGCAGCAGUCGACUCACCAUAGUGAAGACACCGCGGUGAAGAUGAUGCAGCCCUCAAAGCUUGUCUCUUCCUUGAGAUCAUCUGUUUCUUACUCAAAUCCGAGGAAUGCUUGGAAGCAGAAUGGUGUACAUCAGCCACCAAAGUAAAAGUCCUCCUCUGAUCCAAAAAUGGACCUGGAAUCUGAACAGGGGUCAAAGCUGUAUCUGAACACCUGGAUGGCACAGGAUCUGGUGAAAUGAAACCCCAUGACUUUCUUUUAACUCUAAUAUAUUAUUUCUUUCAACUGUUAUGAAAUGACCUAAGAGUCUGUAGUGUGCAUGGUGAGAGAUAUCAAAAGGAGCAUGAAUUUAUUUUUAAUUUGGGAGUCUUCAAUAUUUCUCAAGAGGAACAUUCACAAGAAAUAAAAAUUAAAUAUUUCUUGCUUCACAGAAUGUCUUGAACAUGUUGUGAAAUACUGGUAUGUUGACAACACAGCCAGUGCGUGAAUUAAGAUAUCCCAUCAUGAAAAUUUUGAAUAGGUGUUGACAUACACUGUGAACUUUCUGUAUUUCACAGACACUGUGUAUUUCAGCUUCAUGCCCUUUAGUUCUUUUCUUAUUCCUUGUACACUCCAUCUGGAUGCUUUCAGUUUAAUUGUUGGAAAAGUUCUGUCUCAAGAGAGCACAUCCUUCAUAUAGCAUGGUGCCAGUUGCUGUUUCAGGUGGUCUGCACCUGUUUUUACUCUUCCCCUCACACUUAAAUAACCUACUCCUCCUUUGGCAAUGAUUAAUUCAAACUGUAUAAAAGUCUGUUGUCAUCUAAUGAAAUGUGUUAAACAAAACAGCUAAUUUUUCAGUUGCCUCAAGCUUCUAGUCAACUGUAAAUAUUUCUGUCACUUUCAGUAGAACUUUAAUAGAUACCUCAGCUGACAGAAAAGAUGCAAAAUCCCAAUUUCCCUUUGAAUAAUAUGGGAAGAGUUUUUUUCAAAAAAAAAAGAAAAAGAAAAAGGAAAGUAAUAGGUACCACAACUCCACAACUCUGGAGACCAAACUCUCUGUAGAAAAAAUAGAACAUAUCCCACAGGGCUUUGCCUAAGUGCCUAGAGAGUGCUAGAGAGCAGUUUCCAGAACUGGGCAACUAAUUCAGAGCAAAUAAUUUUUUCAACAAAUGUAGCUUCUUUUUCAGCUCCAAGUAUAACCAUGAGCUUGUCAAACUAUCCCCUGAUUCCAUUAUUCACAUUUAUACAACAACUUUUUCUUACUAGAUUUUUACUUUGUUGUUCAGUUGUGAAUAGUUCACCAAGAAUAUCUGAUACUUGAUAUUCCAAAUUUGUGCUGUGACCGGCCAAAAGAUACAGUAUUGUUUCUGUUUAACUCAGUCAGGGAAAAGCUGAGGCUUUAAACCUCUCAGGGUAAGGGAGCAGUUUUGACAAAGGUAGGGAACAGGACUACGGUACUAAAUAAAAUUUUAAAACUUUUCUAGGAAAGCACAGGAAUCUUUGCUAGAAAAAAUAGGCUACUGCAUGAUUUAUUGGUUGGCUUUAUUAUCUGGGUGGGAUUUUUAAAAGUGCUUAUCAUUGACCUAAAUGUACCCCAAUGACUUCAUUAGGAGCAGAGGUAGGCUUUGGCUUUUAAUAAACUUACCCUGGGUACAAGUUUAAAUUAAUUUUUCUCUUCAUAUAGUCACACAUAAUAACAGCAGGCUCAUGCAUGAUUCUAGUUGUGAAGGUAAUGGCCAAAUAUUCUUGUCUAGCUUAUUUAAUUGUCUCAGUGAUAGGGUUCUGGGGAAGAGUUUGGGAAGCCUAUUCUCUGCUGGGUUGUGCACUCACCUGUCCCACACAAAAGAUACCAUCUCCAUUUGAGCUCAAAUAUUUUCUGCAAAUAUUUGUAGAAAAUUUUUCUGAGAAAUUUGCCCAGCUCAGCUAGUUUCCUUUGCAAGAGCCCACCAAAUAAUUUCAAAUAAACUACAAAACAACCCUUAAAUAUGGUUUUCAGCGACAUGUAAUAUACUGGCUAGUAUGUAUAACCACAACAGUCAUCCACCAAAGGGAACUUCAGAACUGUUCAAUUCAAGGAUUAAAAGCCCCUCUAUAAUUGAGAGUUUAUGCUGUUUCUCCUCUAGCAAGCUAAAAGUUAUGCACGUGUUUAAAUACCCUGAAGAAUCAGGAACUAUAUGCCAGCAGCCGCAGUUUUAUUACUCGCUACUGACCCUACUAAAUGUGAAUUGCCAGCAUGAAGGUGAAAAUCUCUGUAACCUAUCACUAAUCCUCUGUGCCAUCUGGUGUCCUGACACCUCUGUGGUAUUUUUAUUAACAUAAAAUGAUAAUCUGUAACAUAUAUUAUACAGAUCUGCAUAUACAGAUUGCCAUACCAUAACAACAACUGGGCUACAUGUAUUUUAAAGCUAUUUUUCUCUUCAAGAGUAACUCAAUCAAAAUUAUUUUGAUUAAAGCAUCUGUUUCUGACAUCAUUCUAUAUGAUGGGAGAAGAAAAUGCCUGAAAGUUGCUUAUUUUAAAGUGUAUUACAGCAGUCACUGAUAACAACUAGGAUAAACUCUUAUUGUUUCUUGUGCUGAGAUCUUACAUUAGUAACUCCAGCAGCUGAAUUUUAGUUAGUUAAUUUUCAUUUUGUUACUCCCCUAAUUGUGUCAGAAUGCUCAAAUUUGUAUAAGUUAUAAAAAGGUGUAUGUCACAAAAAAGCACGUUCUAUAUAUGUCUUCAAUACUAAUUUCUUCAUUGUCUGAAAAUUUCCAAGUUACAGCAAAGCUGGCAUUUUAUGGCGUGUACAGCUAUAAAUCAUUUUUAAAUCAUGAUGAUAUUACUCAAAACAGAUGUGAAAACAUAUGUUUGCCACGGUUGUAUAAAGUGCUUACUUGUCAUACUUA